This 614-nucleotide small RNA is filed under the name Pan troglodytes (chimpanzee). RNAcentral's name for it is "processed transcript". Lineage: Eukaryota; Metazoa; Chordata; Mammalia; Primates; Hominidae. The record is from RNAcentral.
GCGGCCGCUUCCCUCCGCCCGGAAUGCUUCCGGGAGCGCACAGCUGCAAUGCCCGGGAGAAGGAGCGCUCGCCGUCUGCGGGCGCCGGGCGGAGAUCGGGCAGUCGACUUCCUUGGCGUGGUUCCAGACCCCCUGACGACACCAACCUCGGCGUCGGCACCGGACAGCCCCGUUCCGCCUUUCUGUGAGGAGGGCGCGGUGGCCGUACAGUCCGUGCCCCAGCGGAAGCUUUAGCUUGGACCUUGUGCAGUCGGAGGGAUUAGCAUAUCUGGGCAGAGGGGUGAGGGAUUGCUUCGAAAGGAUUUCCUAAAGAGAUAAAAUUUGAUGCUGGGACUCUCCUUCUUAGUACACACCGACUGAUUUGGAGAGAUCAGAAAAAUCAUGAGUGUUGCAUGGCCAUUCUCCUUUCCCAAAUUGUGUUCAUUGAAGAACAGGCGGCUGGAAUUGGGAAGAGUGCCAAAAUAGUGGUUCAUCUUCACCCAGCUCCUCCUAACAAAGAACCUGGCCCAUUCCAGAGUAGUAAGAACUCCUACAUCAAACUCUCCUUCAAAGAACAUGGCCAGAUUGAGUUUUACAGGCGUUUAUCAGAGGAAAUGACACAAAGAAGAUGGGAG